UACGUAGGGGGCAAGCGUCGUCCGGAUUUAUUGGGCGUAAAGAGCGUGUAGGCGGCCGCACAGGUCCGUUGUGAAAACUGGAGGCUUAACCUUCAGACGUCGAUGGAAACCGUGCGGCUAGAGUCCGGAAGAGGAGAAUGGAAUUCCUGGUGUAGCGGUGAAAUGCGCAGAUAUCAGGAAGAACACCCGUGGCUAAGGCGGUUCUCUAGUACGGUACUGACGCUGAGACGCGAAAGCGUGGGGAGCGAACAGG
Molecule: ribosomal RNA, 253 nt
Filed under: uncultured bacterium
Lineage: Bacteria
Description: partial 16S ribosomal RNA
Rfam family: Bacterial small subunit ribosomal RNA
Source: RNAcentral